RNAcentral lists this non-coding RNA (24 nucleotides) under Arabidopsis thaliana (thale cress). Lineage: Eukaryota; Viridiplantae; Streptophyta; Magnoliopsida; Brassicales; Brassicaceae. The record is from RNAcentral.
CGUUAUUUCUUCUUAUUGGCGCCU